GAGGUUGUGGCUCAGCGGUAGAGUGCUUGCCUGGCACGUGAGACCUUGGGUUUGAUCCUCAGCACCACA
This 69-nucleotide transfer RNA is filed under the name Marmota monax (woodchuck). RNAcentral's name for it is "tRNA.Ala". Lineage: Eukaryota; Metazoa; Chordata; Mammalia; Rodentia; Sciuridae. The record is from RNAcentral.